Molecule: ribosomal RNA, 466 nt
Filed under: uncultured bacterium
Lineage: Bacteria
Description: bacterial SSU rRNA
Rfam family: Bacterial small subunit ribosomal RNA
Source: RNAcentral
UGCCAGACUCCUACGGGAGGCAGCAGUGAGGAAUAUUGGUCAAUGGCCGAGAGGCUGAACCAGCCAAGUCGCGUGAGGGAAGAAUGUCCUAUGGAUUGUAAACCUCUUUUGUCAGGGAGCAAAGUCACCCACGUGUGGGUGUUGGAGAGUACCUGAAGAAAAAGCAUCGGCUAACUCCGUGCCAGCAGCCGCGGUAAUACGGAGGAUGCGAGCGUUAAUCGGAAUUACUGGGCGUAAAGGGUGUGCAGGCGGCUGAGUAAGACAGAUGUGAAAUCCCCGGGCUUAACCUGGGAACCGCAUAUGUGACUGCUUGGCUAGAGUGCGGCAGAGGGAGGUGGAAUUCCACGUGUAGCAGUGAAAUGCGUAGAUAUGUGGAAGAACACCGAUGGCGAAGGCAGCCUCCUGGGACGCAACUGACGCUCAUACACGAAAGCGUGGGUAUCGAACAGGAUUAGAUACCCUGGUA